UACGGGGGGAGCAAGCGUUGUUCGGAUUUACUGGGCGUAAAGGGCGCGUAGGCGGCCAGCACACGUCAGUUGUGAAAUCUCCGAGCUUAACUCGGAAAGGUCAACUGAUACUGUGCGGCUAGAGUGCGGAAGGGGCAACUGGAAUUCUUGGUGUAGCGGUGAAAUGCGUAGAUAUCAAGAGGAACACCUGCGGCGAAGGCGGGUUGCUGGGCCGACACUGACGCUGAGGCGCGAAAGCCAGGGGAGCGAACAGG
RNAcentral lists this ribosomal RNA (254 nucleotides) under uncultured bacterium. Its description in RNAcentral is "partial 16S ribosomal RNA". It matches the Rfam family "Bacterial small subunit ribosomal RNA", at positions 524 to 776 of the family's 1533-position model. The record is from RNAcentral.